GACGAACGCUGGCGGCGUGCUUAACACAUGCAAGUCGAACGGAAAGGCCCUGCUUUUGUGGGGUGCUCGAGUGGCGAACGGGUGAGUAACACGUGAGUAACCUGCCCUUGACUUUGGGAUAACUUCAGGAAACUGGGGCUAAUACCGGAUAGGAGCUCCUGCUGCAUGGUGGGGGUUGGAAAGUUUCGGCGGUUGGGGAUGGACUCGCGGCUUAUCAGCUUGUUGGUGGGGUAGUGGCUUACCAAGGCUUUGACGGGUAGCCGGCCUGAGAGGGUGACCGGCCACAUUGGGACUGAGAUACGGCCCAGACUCCUACGGGAGGCAGCAGUGGGGAAUAUUGCACAAUGGGCGGAAGCCUGAUGCAGCAACGCCGCGUGCGGGAUGACGGCCUUCGGGUUGUAAACCGCUUUCGCCUGUGACGAAGCGUGAGUGACGGUAAUGGGUAAAGAAGCACCGGCUAACUACGUGCCAGCAGCCGCGGUGAUACGUAGGGUGCGAGCGUUGUCCGGAUUUAUUGGGCGUAAAGGGCUCGUAGGUGGUUGAUCGCGUCGGAAGUGUAAUCUUGGGGCUUAACCCUGAGCGUGCUUUCGAUACGGGUUGACUUGAGGAAGGUAGGGGAGAAUGGAAUUCCUGGUGGAGCGGUGGAAUGCGCAGAUAUCAGGAGGAACACCAGUGGCGAAGGCGGUUCUCUGGGCCUUUCCUGACGCUGAGGAGCGAAAGCGUGGGGAGCGAACAGGCUUAGAUACCCUGGUAGUCCACGCUGUAAACGGUGGGUACUAGGUGUGGGGUCCAUUCCACGGGUUCCGUGCCGUAGCUAACGCUUUAAGUACCCCGCCUGGGGAGUACGGCCGCAAGGCUAAAACUCAAAGGAAUUGACGGGGCCCCGCACAAGCGGCGGAGCAUGCGGAUUAAUUCGAUGCAACGCGUAGAACCUUACCUGGGUUUGACAUGGAUCGGGAGUGCUCAGAGAUGGGUGUGCCUCUUUUGGGGUCGGUUCACAGGUGGUGCAUGGCUGUCGUCAGCUCGUGUCGUGAGAUGUUGGGUUAAGUCCCGCAACGAGCGCAACCCUUGUUCACUGUUGCCAGCACGUUAUGGUGGGGACUCAGUGGAGACCGCCGGGGUCAACUCGGAGGAAGGUGGGGAUGACGUCAAGUCAUCAUGCCCCUUAUGUCCAGGGCUUCACGCAUGCUACAAUGGCUGGUACAGAGAGUGGCGAGCCUGUGAGGGUGAGCGAAUCUCGGAAAGCCGGUCUCAGUUCGGAUUGGGGUCUGCAACCCGACCUCAUGAAGUCGGAGUCGCUAGUAAUCGCAGAUCAGCAACGCUGCGGUGAAUACGGUCCCGGG
This 1343-nucleotide ribosomal RNA is filed under the name uncultured bacterium. Its description in RNAcentral is "16S ribosomal RNA". It matches the Rfam family "Bacterial small subunit ribosomal RNA", at positions 28 to 1378 of the family's 1533-position model. The record is from RNAcentral.